GGAGCACUGGUGCAGUGUCAUGUCCCCCCCCAGGCCCUGGGGCCCCCCCUGAGCCGUGGCCGCCACCAGCUUCGUGGGGCCUGAGCCCCGGGACCUGCUGCCUGCUGCUCCGGAGCUGCGCAGUCCCAGCAGUGCCGGGGGGGGGCUGGGCCACGGACUGGGCUGGCCACAGGACUCCCCCCCGUUCGCGGUGGAGCUGCCGCGGGGCCCGGGCGGGUUCGGGUUCAGCCUCCGGGGGGGGCCCCGCCGGGGUUUUCGUGCGGGGGGCUGCGCGAGGGGGGCCCGGCCCAGCGCUGCGGCUGCAUCCAGGUCAGUGACGAGCUCCUGGCCAUCAACGGGGCCCCCACGGCCGGCAUGAGCCACGCGCAGGCGCUGGCCCGGAUCCGGGGCGGGGGCAGCCGCCUGCGCCUGCUGCUGCGCCGCCCCCACGGGGCGCCCCCAGCCCCGCUGGCGCGGGGGGUGCUGCGGCUGUGCGUGGGCAGCUCCCCGCGGGGGGAGCCUGCUUCUGCCUCGUGGGGGGGCUGCACCCCUGACCCCCCGGACCCCGCACACGGACGGUGACGGCGCAGCGAGGUUCGCCCCCCGCCCCCCCCCCCCCCCAAUUUUUUGGUGCUUUGGGGGGCCCCCAUCGCGGGGGGGUCAUUCUGGUACCCCUCGUUUUGGCGGGGGCGCACUUCGAGCUAUGCAAUACCCCCCCCCCGCGUUCCGGGGGUCGCACGGAGGUGUUGUCCCCCUCCCCAUUUCGGGGUGCUCAAUAAAGGUGAGGACCCCACGGUGGCUCCCAUUUCCCACAAGGA
This is a long non-coding RNA of Haemorhous mexicanus (house finch), 797 nucleotides long. RefSeq lists it as uncharacterized. The record is from RefSeq and is a predicted model, not a curated record. Lineage: Eukaryota; Metazoa; Chordata; Aves; Passeriformes; Fringillidae. The transcript is spliced from 5 exons.